This 356-nucleotide ribosomal RNA is filed under the name uncultured Saccharomycetes. Its description in RNAcentral is "eukaryotic LSU rRNA". It matches the Rfam family "Eukaryotic large subunit ribosomal RNA", at positions 291 to 644 of the family's 3401-position model. The record is from RNAcentral. Lineage: Eukaryota; Fungi; Ascomycota; Saccharomycetes.
AAUGGGUGGUAAAUUCCAUCUAAAGCUAAAUAUUGGCGAGAGACCGAUAGCGAACAAGUACCGUGAGGGAAAGAUGAAAAGCACUUUUGAAAGAGAGUUAAACAGUACGUGAAAUUGUUGAAAGGGGAACGAUUGAAGUCAGUCGUGUUCAUUGGACUCAGCCGGUUUUCGGUGUACUUCCUUUGAACGGGUCAACAUCAGUUUUGUCCGGUGGAUAAAGGCAGGAAGAAAGUGGCUUGCUUGCAAGUGUUAUAGCUUUCUGUCACAUACACUGGGGGAGACUGAGGACUGCAGCUCGCCUUUUGGCCGGGGUUCGUCCACGUUCGAGCCUAGGAUGUUGACAUAAUGGCUUUAAA